This 422-nucleotide ribosomal RNA is filed under the name Rhodococcus sp. (in: high G+C Gram-positive bacteria). RNAcentral's name for it is "bacterial SSU rRNA". The record is from RNAcentral. Lineage: Bacteria; Bacillati; Actinomycetota; Actinomycetes; Mycobacteriales; Nocardiaceae.
UGGUAAGGCCUUYCGGGGUACACGAGCGGCGAACGGGUGAGUAACACGUGGGUGAUCUGCCCUGCACUUCGGGAUAAGCCUGGGAAACUGGGUCUAAUACCGGAUAUGACCUCCURUCGCAUGGUGGGKGGUGGAAAGAUUUAUCGGUGCAGGAUGGGCCCGCGGCCUAUCAGCUUGUUGGUGGGGUAAUGGCCUACCAAGGCGACGACGGGUAGCCGACCUGAGAGGGUGACCGGCCACACUGGGACUGAGACACGGCCCAGACUCCUACGGGAGGCAGCAGUGGGGAAUAUUGCACAAUGGGCGAAAGCCUGAUGCAGCGACGCCGCGUGAGGGAUGACGGCCUUCGGGUUGUAAACCUCUUUCAGCAGGGACGAAGCGCAAGUGACGGUACCUGCAGAAGAAGCACCGGCUAACUACGU